UGGCCCUGAGGAAUCUUGGAGACAUCUGUGUGGUAGCAGUUGAGAGUGAGUGAGCGAGAGAGAGGUCUGAAGAAUGAUAGAUUAAUCUGGGAAGGUGAAUGACGCUAAAGGUGGAAAUACAAUAGCAGAACACUAACAAAUUAAGAGGAUGGAGGAAAGAUGUGAUGUGUACAACAAAGAAAGUUACAGAAAUUCAGAGAUCUCCCAAGACCAAAUAAUCCUCCUUCAUUGUCUUUUGAAAGGCAUGUCUACUUGGUGGGAUAACGUGCCUUACAGCGGUGUGACUGCUAAAGCACGGUAAAGUAUUGCGUAUUAAUUGGUCUGUGUACAAGUGACUGGUGUGCACUAAAAAUUCAGGGAAGAAUCCUUCUGUUGAUGUAGCUGUGCCUAAUUUAGGGGUUAGGUAGACUUAACCACGGCAUGCAGGGCAUAACAUUUUUCACAGCCCUGAGCAACGUGGCUAGGUCGAUCUAAUUUUUAAGUGUAGAUGAGGCCUGAGAUAAGGUUUCUGCAGUUUUAGAUUUCCUUCCCUAAACUCUUCUCUCAUUGUUUGUGGGCUAAUUCAUUAAAAAUAACUACACUAUAUAGGUUCUGGUUAAAUUUAGUUCUCCAUUUCUUUUAAAUUUAAAAGAUAACUUUUCUUCUUGAUUGCAACCUUCUG
This 661-nucleotide long non-coding RNA is filed under the name Chrysemys picta bellii (western painted turtle). RNAcentral describes it as "lncRNA (ENSCPBG00000026468.1)". Lineage: Eukaryota; Metazoa; Chordata; Testudines; Emydidae. The record is from RNAcentral.